Suncus etruscus (white-toothed pygmy shrew) is the source of this 105-nucleotide small nuclear RNA. The record is from RefSeq and is a predicted model, not a curated record. NCBI's taxonomy places the organism in Eukaryota, Metazoa, Chordata, Mammalia, Eulipotyphla, Soricidae.
GUACUCACUUCAGCAGCACAUAUACUAAAAUUGGAACUAUACAGAGAUUAGCAUGGCCCCUGCUCAAGGAUGACACUCAAAAAGUAACUUUUGUACCUAUUUCAU